GUCCCCGUCGACUAGCGGCCUAGGUCGCCACCCUCUCAAGGUGGAAACGGCGGUUCAAAUCCGCUCGGGGAUG
This 73-nucleotide transfer RNA is filed under the name Acidimicrobiia bacterium. RNAcentral's name for it is "tRNA-Glu". It matches the Rfam family "tRNA". From Rfam's summary of the family: Transfer RNA (tRNA) molecules are approximately 80 nucleotides in length. Their secondary structure includes four short double-helical elements and three loops (D, anti-codon, and T loops). The record is from RNAcentral. Lineage: Bacteria; Bacillati; Actinomycetota; Acidimicrobiia.